AGAGUUUGAUCCUGGCUCAGGACGAACGCUGGCGGCGCGCCUAACACAUGCAAGUCGAACGAGCGAGAGAGAGCUUGCUUUCUCGAGCGAGUGGCGAACGGGUGAGUAACGCGUGAGGAACCUGCCUCAAAGAGGGGGACAACAGUUGGAAACGACUGCUAAUACCGCAUAAGCCCACGGCUCGGCAUCGAGCAGAGGGAAAAGGAGCAAUCCGCUUUGAGAUGGCCUCGCGUCCGAUUAGCUAGUUGGUGAGGUAACGGCCCACCAAGGCGACGAUCGGUAGCCGGACUGAGAGGUUGAACGGCCACAUUGGGACUGAGACACGGCCCAGACUCCUACGGGAGGCAGCAGUGGGGAAUAUUGCACAAUGGGGGAAACCCUGAUGCAGCGACGCCGCGUGGAGGAAGAAGGUCUUCGGAUUGUAAACUCCUGUUGUUGAGGAAGAUAAUGACGGUACUCAACAAGGAAGUGACGGCUAACUACGUGCCAGCAGCCGCGGUAAAACGUAGGUCACAAGCGUUGUCCGGAAUUACUGGGUGUAAAGGGAGCGCAGGCGGGAAGACAAGUUGGAAGUGAAAUCUAUGGGCUCAACCCAUAAACCGCUUUCAAAACUGUUUUUCUUGAGUAGUGCAGAGGUAGGCGGAAUUCCCGGUGUAGCGGUGGAAUGCGUAGAUAUCGGGAGGAACACCAGUGGCGAAGGCGGCCUACUGGGCACCAACUGACGCUGAGGCUCGAAAGUGUGGGUAGCAACAGGAUUAGAUACCCUGGUAGUCCACACCGUAAACGAUGAUUACUAGGUGUUGGAGGAUUGACCCCUUCAGUGCCGCAGUUAACACAAUAAGUAAUCCACCUGGGGAGUACGACCGCAAGGUUGAAACUCAAAGGAAUUGACGGGGGCCCGCACAAGCAGUGGAGUAUGUGGUUUAAUUCGACGCAACGCGAAGAACCUUACCAAGUCUUGACAUCCUCUGACGAACGUAGAAAUACGUUUUCUCUUCGGAGCAGAGAGACAGGUGGUGCAUGGUUGUCGUCAGCUCGUGUCGUGAGAUGUUGGGUUAAGUCCCGCAACGAGCGCAACCCUUAUGGUCAGUUACUACGCAAGAGGACUCUGGCCAGACUGCCGUUGACAAAACGGAGGAAGGUGGGGAUGACGUCAAAUCAUCAUGCCCUUUAUGACUUGGGCUACACACGUACUACAAUGGCGUUAAACAAAGAGAAGCAAGACCGCGAGGUGGAGCAAAACUCAGAAACAACGUCCCAGUUCGGACUGCAGGCUGCAACUCGCCUGCACGAAGUCGGAAUUGCUAGUAAUCGCAGAUCAGCAUGCUGCGGUGAAUACGUUCCNCGGGCCAUUGUACACAC
RNAcentral lists this ribosomal RNA (1362 nucleotides) under uncultured bacterium. RNAcentral describes it as "16S ribosomal RNA". It matches the Rfam family "Bacterial small subunit ribosomal RNA". The record is from RNAcentral.